RNAcentral lists this transfer RNA (69 nucleotides) under Sphingomonas ginsenosidimutans. It matches the Rfam family "tRNA". Rfam says of the family: Transfer RNA (tRNA) molecules are approximately 80 nucleotides in length. Their secondary structure includes four short double-helical elements and three loops (D, anti-codon, and T loops). Further hydrogen bonds mediate the characteristic L-shaped molecular structure. tRNAs have two regions of fundamental functional importance: the anti-codon, which is responsible for specific mRNA codon recognition, and the 3' end, to which the tRNAs corresponding amino acid is attached (by aminoacyl-tRNA synthetases). tRNAs cope with the degeneracy of the genetic code in two manners: having more than one tRNA (with a specific anti-codon) for a particular amino acid; and 'wobble' base-pairing, i.e. permitting non-standard base-pairing at the 3rd anti-codon position. Lineage: Bacteria; Pseudomonadati; Pseudomonadota; Alphaproteobacteria; Sphingomonadales; Sphingomonadaceae. The record is from RNAcentral.
CGGUUUAGCUCAGCUGGUAGAGCAGCGGUUUUGUAAACCGAAGGUCGCGGGUUCGAUCCCUGCAACCGG